AUACGGAGGGAGCAAGCGUUGUUCGGAAUUACUGGGCGUAAAGGGCGCGUAGGCGGUCCAGCAAGUCUUGCGUGAAAUCCCCCGGCUCAACUGGGGAACUGCGUAGGAAACUUCUGGACUUGAGUUCGGGAGAGGGAAGCGGAAUUCCGGGUGUAGCGGUGAAAUGCGUAGAUAUCCGGAGGAACACCGGUGGCGAAGGCGGCUUCCUGGACCGAUACUGACGCUGAGGCGCGAAAGCUAGGGUAGCAAACGGGAUUAGAAACCCCUGUAGUCC
This 274-nucleotide ribosomal RNA is filed under the name uncultured bacterium. RNAcentral's name for it is "partial 16S ribosomal RNA". It matches the Rfam family "Bacterial small subunit ribosomal RNA", at positions 523 to 796 of the family's 1533-position model. The record is from RNAcentral.